Molecule: ribosomal RNA, 408 nt
Filed under: uncultured Rhodoferax sp.
Lineage: Bacteria; Pseudomonadati; Pseudomonadota; Betaproteobacteria; Burkholderiales; Comamonadaceae
Description: bacterial SSU rRNA
Rfam family: Bacterial small subunit ribosomal RNA
Source: RNAcentral
AUGCCGCGUGCAGGAUGAAGGCCUUCGGGUUGUAAACUGCUUUUGUACGGAACGAAACGGUGCGCCUUAAUACGGUGGGCUAAUGACGGUACCGUAAGAAUAAGCACCGGCUAACUACGUGCCAGCAGCCGCGGUAAUACGUAGGGUGCGAGCGUUAAUCGGAAUUACUGGGCGUAAAGCGUGCGCAGGCGGUUAUAUAAGACAGAUGUGAAAUCCCCGGGCUCAACCUGGGACCUGCAUUUGUGACUGUAUAGCUAGAGUACGGUAGAGGGGGAUGGAAUUCCGCGUGUAGCAGUGAAAUGCGUAGAUAUGCGGAGGAACACCGAUGGCGAAGGCAAUCCCCUGGACCUGUACUGACGCUCAUGCACGAAAGCGUGGGGAGCAAACAGGAUUAGAUACCCUGGUAGA